UGUUUUUCAUUUCCUGAACUGUGACCUAUGUUUUGAAGCCAUGCUUUUCAUUUUUCAGCUGAAUCGCUUUCAUUUUGUAAACCCAGCACCUCUGUCACAGAGCACCAUGUCUCGCACCAAGAUUCCAUUUACUUCUCUUAUGUAGAGAGAACAGAUAAAUUGAGGCUUGUUUCAGACCAUUGUAUGUGUCCAUCUGCACCAGGAAAACCAUUGGAUGUGUUCAUCUGCACUGGGAAGACCAUUAUCCUGUGAGGUUUUGAGCAGCUUGUUCCAGUAAAACUCAUGAGAGCAGUAACAGUAAUGGACACUAUUUGAUGUCUCAUCUCAGUGUAUUUGUCAUGCCAUGAGGCCCGUUGAUGCCAGCAGGCAAAGGAUCAUCACUCUGUUACCCAGGGACAGAUAAACGAUGGCUCGACCGGUCUCCGAAGGAGUGGAUUUUGUGUGUUAAAGCUGCCCACAUGCCAAGAAAUUGA
This 473-nucleotide long non-coding RNA is filed under the name Gopherus agassizii (Agassiz's desert tortoise). RNAcentral's name for it is "lncRNA (ENSGAGG00000016701.1)". The record is from RNAcentral. Lineage: Eukaryota; Metazoa; Chordata; Testudines; Testudinidae.